Mycena belliarum is the source of this 84-nucleotide non-coding RNA. Lineage: Eukaryota; Fungi; Basidiomycota; Agaricomycetes; Agaricales; Mycenaceae. The record is from the annotation of a GenBank genome assembly.
GCCCUCUUGGCUAAGUGGUUAAAGCGCGGCACUUGUAUACUGAUUGACAUGCCGAGAUCACUCGUUCAACUCGGGUAGUGGGCA